GCAGGGCCUCUUGGAAGGACCUCCUCACCGUGCCCACCCACUGAGACAUGUGCGUCUGGGCCACCGAAAGCUUGUCACCCAGGCAUCCGCGGGUCACAAAACAGGGACAGUGACGGGUCAGCUCGGGGCCACCAGGAGCAUCAAGUCAACCAACCAGGACGUCCAGUUCUAGUCCCCAGGGCCAGCCCUGCUGAAUUCAAGGAGCAGGAAGCUGUGAGGAGCUGGGCCAGGGGGCUGGCACCCCAAACUCACUUCCCUCCAUGCAGGUGAGGAAAUGCCAGCUCUGAGAGGUAGAUUCAUUGGUCCAAGGUAAAGCUAUCAAGGUUUGCUUGAAAAUGCCUCCCUCUCCACUGCUGUGUGAUAGGUCUGACCUGCAACUUGUCUACUGUGAGGGCUCAAAAAUAUUGACUUUUCAAAAGCCAGGCCAAAUCCAAGGUUGAAAUCCACAUCAGCCCAACUGCCUGGUGUGAUCUCUGUACCACCCCCUCACCUCUGUCCUGAAAAAAUAUUUGCUCUCUAGACACCAGA
Molecule: long non-coding RNA, 528 nt
Organism: Psammomys obesus (fat sand rat)
Lineage: Eukaryota; Metazoa; Chordata; Mammalia; Rodentia; Muridae
Exons: 3
Source: RefSeq, a predicted model, not a curated record